RNAcentral lists this transfer RNA (55 nucleotides) under Aelurostrongylus abstrusus (cat lungworm). RNAcentral's name for it is "tRNA-Ala". Lineage: Eukaryota; Metazoa; Nematoda; Chromadorea; Rhabditida; Metastrongylidae. The record is from RNAcentral.
UUUUUUGUUAAAAUAUAUGAUUUGCAAUUGUAAGAUUUAGAUUCUAUAUGGGGAU